Molecule: ribosomal RNA, 348 nt
Filed under: Helictopleurus sinuaticornis
Lineage: Eukaryota; Metazoa; Arthropoda; Insecta; Coleoptera; Scarabaeidae
Description: partial 16S ribosomal RNA
Rfam family: Archaeal large subunit ribosomal RNA (bases 1-164)
Source: RNAcentral
ACCUGCCCUAUGAUAUAGAUAUUAAAUGGCCGCGAUAUUUUGAUCGUGCAAAGGUAGCAUAAUCAUUAGUUUUUUAAUUGAGAACUGGAAUGAAAGGUUGAACGAGAAAAAGACUGUCUCAGUUUAAUUUAAUUAGAAUUUUAUUUUUAAGUCAAAAAGCUUAAAUAUUUUUAAAAGACGAGAAGACCCUAUAGAGUUUAAUAUUUAAAAUUUUUAAAAUGAUAUAUAGUAUAUAAGUUUUUAUUUGGUUAUUAAAUAUUUGGUUGGGGUGAUUAGAAAAUUUAAAAAACUUUUUUUAUAUAAUAACAUUAAUAUAUGAAAAAUUGAUCCAUAUUUUAUGAUUAAAAG